Molecule: ribosomal RNA, 167 nt
Filed under: uncultured bacterium
Lineage: Bacteria
Description: partial 16S ribosomal RNA
Rfam family: Bacterial small subunit ribosomal RNA
Source: RNAcentral
UACGGGAGGCAGCAGUAGGGAAUUUUCCACAAUGGACGAAAGUCUGAUGGAGCAACGCCGCGUGCAGGAUGAAGGCUUUCGGGUCGUAAACUGCUUUUAUUUGUGAUGAAUAUGACAGUAGCAAAUGAAUAAGGGACGGCUAACUACGUGCCAGCAGCCGCGGUAAU